AACUAAAAUGAAAAGGGAACGAAGAAUAGUAUUUUUUAUAUAAUAAAUUACUGUAUUUCUAGACAAAUUACCAUGCAAGUAUUACACAAUUUAUUCUUUUUUUUUUUUUAGACAAUUAUUUAUAUUUCUUCUAUUCUAAUAGACAGUCUGACAAUAAAAAUGCUUUUGCUGUCUGUCUCUAAUGUGAUGGUAACGGAAGUAACCUUUUAUUGUGUCCGAAUGUUCGAGUCUGAAAAAUUACGUAAAAUCAGCGGAGUUGUGUGACGUAACGAAGAAACGUAGAACAAAACGAAUGUCACGAAAUUUACCCUUUAACAAUGAAUCAUCUUUUAUAUUUUUUUCUUUUCUUUCGCUCGUUAGGCCACAGUAUUUCCGGUGAGUAUCAAACAUUCUUUAAUUUCCACUUCGUGUUGACAAAUAGAAUCCUUUUGAUUUCGAUCUCCGAGCCAAAGAUCUCAUACAGGAACAAUCAAGGAAGGUCGAAGAAGAAAAGGCUAUUUCCUUGGCAAGCAAUUGAUCAUAUCUCGAAUGAGAUUUCUACGAUCGAAACAAUAAUUAGUAGUUUGCAAAUCGAUUAUGAUUCGAACUUGUGAAUUGCGGAUUCAUUCGUAUUAUUUGAUGUACGAUUGAUAUUUAUGUUAUAUUGUCAUUGAUUCCAAUGAAAUAGAUCUAUCAUUUUCAAUUUCUAUAUUAAAAUUAAUGUAAUAGGAACUAAUUUAAUGACUCGAUGCAUUUUUCUAUUCUCCACAUGCAACGGCAUUGGAAUUCAGACAAUUGCAUCUUCUUUCCGCAUCUUGGAAUGUUUGCAUGGUAAUAUUCGUAACGGAACACGUGGUUGUUAAAAAGCGUCUCAUGAAGCAGAGUCAACAACCAAAAACGGCGUACAAAGGACGAGGAAAGAAGCGGUUGAACCUUUUAUCAACUCCAGAUCGUUGUCCAUGAACUCCAGAGUGCUGUUUCUUAUGAAAAAGAAACCUGUUAGUCUAUUUACUUCUGAAAUUUCCUUCUCUUCGAGUUUUAUAAUCGGAAAAUAUCAGAGAAAUUUCUAAGUCCGAGUAAUUGUUGCGAUGCAUCCACGAGACGUGAUAGAAAUUAAGAAGAAAAAAGACGAAGGAGGAUUGCGUGUACCAUUUGCGUAAAUUUCGCAACGAUGCUAUUACACCGUCUCGUGUUGCAAAAAGAAUCUUAAAAGGAGAAGAAAUUGUCCAUUUACGAAAAAUGCAAAUAUUCUUUGCAAAAAAUUUAUA
This is a long non-coding RNA of Apis florea (little honeybee), 1247 nucleotides long. NCBI's taxonomy places the organism in Eukaryota, Metazoa, Arthropoda, Insecta, Hymenoptera, Apidae. The record is from RefSeq and is a predicted model, not a curated record.